This 465-nucleotide ribosomal RNA is filed under the name uncultured bacterium. Its description in RNAcentral is "partial 16S ribosomal RNA". It matches the Rfam family "Bacterial small subunit ribosomal RNA", at positions 28 to 507 of the family's 1533-position model. The record is from RNAcentral.
GACGAACGCUGGCGGCGUGCUUAACACAUGCAAGUCGAACGGUGAACUCCGCUUGCGGGGGGAUCAGUGGCGAACGGGUGAGUAACACGUGGGCAACCUGCCCUCAGCUCUGGGAUAACUCCAAGAAAUUGGGGCUAAUACCGGAUAUGACCGCUGACCGCAUGGUCUGGUGGUGGAAAGAUUUAUCGGCUGGGGAUGGGCCCGCGGCCUAUCAGCUUGUUGGUGGGGUAGUGGCCCACCAAGGCGACGACGGGUAGCCGGCCUGAGAGGGUGACCGGCCACACUGGGACUGAGACACGGCCCAGACUCCUACGGGAGGCAGCAGUGGGGAAUAUUGCGCAAUGGGCGAAAGCCUGACGCAGCGACGCCGCGUGGGGGAUGACGGCCUUCGGGUUGUAAACCUCUUUCAGCAGGGACGAAGCGAAAGUGACGGUACCUGCAGAAGAAGCACCGGCCAACUACGUG